AACGAACGCUGGCUGCAGGCCUAACACAUGCAAGUCGAACGCUGUGGCAAUACAGAGUGGCAGACGGGUGCGUAACACGUGGGAAUCUUCCUAUCGUUACGGAAUAGCUCAGGGAAACUUGGGGUAAUACCGCAUACGCCCUGCGGGCGACAGACUUAUCGCCGAUAGAUUAGCCCGCGUCUGAUUAGCUAGUUGGUUAGGUAAUGGCUCACCAAGGCGACGCUCAGUAGCUGGUCUGAUAGGAUGACCAGCCACCCUGGGACUGAGACACGGCCCAGACUCCUACGGGAGGAAGCAGUGGGGAAUAUUGGACAAUGGGCGCAAGCCUGAUCCAGCCAUGCCGCGUGAGUGACGAAGGUCUUCGGAUUGUAGAGCUCUUUUGGCGGGGACGAUAAUGACGGUACCCGCAGAAUAAGCCCCGGCUAACUUCGUGCCAGCCGCCGCCGUAA
RNAcentral lists this ribosomal RNA (449 nucleotides) under uncultured bacterium. RNAcentral describes it as "partial 16S ribosomal RNA". It matches the Rfam family "Bacterial small subunit ribosomal RNA", at positions 29 to 523 of the family's 1533-position model. The record is from RNAcentral.